UGAAACUGCGAAUGGCUCAUUAAAUCAGUUAUCGUUUAUUUGAUAGUACCUUACUACAUGGAUAACCGUGGUAAUUCUAGAGCUAAUACAUGCUAAAAACCUCAACUUCGGAAGGGGUGUAUUUAUUAGAUAAAAAACCAGCGCCCUUCGGGGCUCCUUGGUGAUUCAUAAUAACUAAACGAAUCGCAUGGCCUUGCGCCGGCGAUGGUUCAUUCAAAUUUCUGCCCUAUCAACUGUCGAUGGUAGGAUAGAGGCCUACCAUGGUGGUGACGGGUGACGGAGAAUUAGG
This 289-nucleotide ribosomal RNA is filed under the name Picocystis salinarum. RNAcentral describes it as "partial Eukaryotic small subunit ribosomal RNA". It matches the Rfam family "Eukaryotic small subunit ribosomal RNA", at positions 82 to 374 of the family's 1831-position model. The record is from RNAcentral. Lineage: Eukaryota; Viridiplantae; Chlorophyta; Picocystophyceae; Picocystales; Picocystaceae.